Molecule: ribosomal RNA, 443 nt
Filed under: uncultured Syntrophaceticus sp.
Lineage: Bacteria; Bacillati; Bacillota; Clostridia; Thermoanaerobacterales; Thermoanaerobacterales Family III. Incertae Sedis
Description: bacterial SSU rRNA
Rfam family: Bacterial small subunit ribosomal RNA
Source: RNAcentral
CCUACGGGUGGCUGCAGUGGGGAAUAUUGCGCAAUGGGGGAAACCCUGACGCAGCGACGCCGCGUGAGCGAAGAAGGCCUUCGGGUUGUAAAGCUCUGUUGCAGGGGACGAAGGAAGAGACGGUACCCUGCCAGAAAGCCCCGGCUAACUACGUGCCAGCAGCCGCGGUAAAACGUAGGGGGCGAGCGUUGUCCGGAAUUACUGGGCGUAAAGGGCUCGUAGGCGGUAACUCAAGUCAGUUGUGAAAACCGACGGCUUAACCGGAGGAUUGCAGUUGAUACUGAGUUACUUGAGGCAAGGAGAGGAAGGUGGAAUUCCCGGUGUAGCGGUGAUAUGCGUAGAUAUCGGGAGGAACCCCAGUGGCGAAGGCGGCCUUCUGGUCUUGACCUGACGCUGAGGAGCGAAAGCCAGGGUAGCGAACGGGAUUAGAUACCCGAGUAGUC